Molecule: ribosomal RNA, 494 nt
Filed under: uncultured bacterium
Lineage: Bacteria
Description: partial 16S ribosomal RNA
Rfam family: Bacterial small subunit ribosomal RNA
Source: RNAcentral
GACGAACGCUGGCGGCGUGCUUAACACAUGCAAGUCGAACGGUGAAGCGCCUUCCUUUUUGGUGGGUGUGGAUGAGUGGCGAACGGGUGAGUAACACGUGAGUAACCUGCCCCCUUCUUCUGGAUAACCGCAUGAAAGUGUGGCUAAUACGGGAUAUUCUGGGUCUGUCGCAUGAUGGGUCUGGGAAAGAUAUUGUUUCGGUGGGGGAUGGGCUCGCGGCCUAUCAGCUUGUUGGUGGGGUGAUGGCCUACCAAGGCGGUGAGGGGUAGCCGGCCUGAGAGGGUGGACGGUCACACUGGGACUGAGACACGGCCCAGACUCCUACGCGAGGCAGCAGUGGGGAAUAGUGAGCAAUGGGCGAAAGCGUGAUGCAGCGACGCCGCGUGAGGGAUGGAGGCCGUCGGGUUGUGAACCUCUUUCGCCAGUGAAGCAGGCCUGCCUGGUUUGUGGGUGGGUUGACGGUAGCUGGAUAAGAAGCGCCGGCUAACUACGUG